This 915-nucleotide ribosomal RNA is filed under the name uncultured archaeon. RNAcentral's name for it is "bacterial SSU rRNA". It matches the Rfam family "Archaeal small subunit ribosomal RNA", at positions 1 to 921 of the family's 1478-position model. The record is from RNAcentral.
UUCCGGUUGAUCCCGCCAGAGGCUACUGCUAUCGGGGUCCGACUAAGCCAUGCGAGUUGAGAGGGGUAAGCCCUCGGCAUAUUGCUCAGUAACACGCGGAUAACCUGCCCUUGGGUUUGGGAUAACCCCGGGAAACUGGGACUAAUACCGGAUAGAUCAAAGAAACUGGAAUGUUCUCUGAUCGAAAGCUCCGGCGCCCAAGGAUGGGUCUGCGGCCUAUCAGGUAGUAGUGGGUGUAACGUACCUACUAGCCUACGACGGGUAAGGGUUGUGAGAGCAAGAGCCCUGAGAUGGAUUCUGAGACAUGAAUCCAGGCCCUACGGGGUGCAGCAGGCGCGAAAACUUUACACUGCGGGAAACCGCGAUAAGGGGACCCCGAGUGCCAGCACCUAGUGCUGGCUGUCCAGCUGUUCAAAUAACAGUUGUUAGCAAGGGCCGGGCAAGACCGGUGCCAGCCGCCGCGGUAACACCGGCGGCCCGAGUGGUAGCCGUUAUUAUUGGGUUUAAAGGGUCCGUAGCCGGCCUAUUAAGUCUCUUGGGAAAUCUGGCGACUCAAUCGUCAGGCGUUCAAGAGAUACUGGUAGGCUUGGGACCGGGAGAGGUGGGAGGUACUCCAGGGGUAGGGGUGAAAUCUCGUAAUCCUUGGGGGACCACCGAUGGCGAAGGCAUCCCACCAGAACGGGUCCGACGGUGAGGGACGAAAGCUGGGGGCACGAACCGGAUUAGAUACCCGGGUAGUCCCAGCCGUAAACGAUGCUCGCUAGGUGUCAGGUGCGGUGCGACCGCAUCUGGUGCCGCAGUGAAAACUUGAAGCGAGUCACCUGGGAAGUACGGUCGCAAGGCUGAAACUUAAAGGAAUUGGCGGGGGAGCACUACAACGGGUGGAGCCUGCGGUUCAAUUGGAGUCAACGCCGG